UAUUGGGCAAUGCCCGCAAGGGUGACCCAGCAACGCCGCGUGGAGGAUGAAUGUCGUAAGGUUGUAAACUCCUGUUAGAGGGGAAGAAUAGUACCGGUUGGACCGGUAUAUGACUGUACCCUCAGAGAAAGCCCCGGCUAACUACGUGCCAGCAGCCGCGGUAAUACGUAGGGGGCAUGCGUUGUCCGGAUUUACUGGGUGUAAAGGGCGCGCAGGCGGAAUGGAAAGUCAGUGGUGAAAUCCUACAGCUUAACUGUAGAACUGCCUUUGAU
RNAcentral lists this ribosomal RNA (272 nucleotides) under uncultured bacterium. RNAcentral's name for it is "partial 16S ribosomal RNA". It matches the Rfam family "Bacterial small subunit ribosomal RNA", at positions 362 to 631 of the family's 1533-position model. The record is from RNAcentral.